Drosophila novamexicana is the source of this 838-nucleotide long non-coding RNA. RefSeq lists it as uncharacterized. NCBI's taxonomy places the organism in Eukaryota, Metazoa, Arthropoda, Insecta, Diptera, Drosophilidae. The record is from RefSeq and is a predicted model, not a curated record. The transcript has 2 exons.
UCGACGCUUGGCCCCUAGGCCAUGAAACAAACUUUGCGUUCGUCUAAAUCAGUUCAUUUCCGAAACUUAUCGAACAACCGGCGGGAACUGCAAUCGGUGGCCCAUGAAAGUUGUAUUGAAAGGCGGGCGCGACAGAAACAGAGACUCAGCGACAGAUACAGAGUCAGAGAGACAGUCAAGACAGCCAAGACAACAACGACAACAACGACAACAACUUGGCGAGGGGCCGCGCCACAAUUGACUGGCAAACUGGAGCUGUACAUCCUGGACACUGGCAGGAACUGCACCGCAUUCCCCGAGCAUCAGAUCUACCUUUUACUUAUUGCCAGGGCAAAUAAUAACUUAUGUGUGGUGUCAGGCCAAAAAGCCGUAAGCGCUACGGGAAAUAUUUUCAGUGUGUGCUUUUCCUGCCAUACUGCUCCAGUAUUUGUACUUUAGUAGUUGUGUCUGCUGUAUGCUGGCCAAUCUCCAACGAUGUAUCUCAGUAUUUUUGCAAUAUUUCAACAUGCCGGCGCGUAUCUUUUGGAUGCCUGUCUGUGGGUUUUUGCCAUGCCAUGCCGUGCCGUGCCGUGUCCGUUAUUGAACUAUUGUGCAGCGCACGUAAUUUAAGCCAGCCCCGCCCCGGACUCGGGACUCGCCCCACAGCUCGCCUCGCAAUCCUGCCCAGCUAUAUAUAUCUAUUCCCCUGCUGUUUGUGGAUUCGUUGUGGAUUUUUGCAAAAACUUUCGUCGUCAGGCGCAUGGCCAGUUUGCGUUCUCAAUUUGCGGCCCAAGUUGAAAAUUUGUUUAUGAAAGGGAAUUUUCUAUGAAAGUAACUGAAACCCGAACCCGAAGUUCAG